This 74-nucleotide transfer RNA is filed under the name Candidatus Jacksonbacteria bacterium RIFOXYA2_FULL_43_12. Its description in RNAcentral is "tRNA-Gln". It matches the Rfam family "tRNA". From Rfam's summary of the family: Transfer RNA (tRNA) molecules are approximately 80 nucleotides in length. Their secondary structure includes four short double-helical elements and three loops (D, anti-codon, and T loops). Further hydrogen bonds mediate the characteristic L-shaped molecular structure. tRNAs have two regions of fundamental functional importance: the anti-codon, which is responsible for specific mRNA codon recognition, and the 3' end, to which the tRNAs corresponding amino acid is attached (by aminoacyl-tRNA synthetases). tRNAs cope with the degeneracy of the genetic code in two manners: having more than one tRNA (with a specific anti-codon) for a particular amino acid; and 'wobble' base-pairing, i.e. permitting non-standard base-pairing at the 3rd anti-codon position. Lineage: Bacteria; Candidatus Jacksoniibacteriota. RNAcentral also lists the same sequence under 4 other names. The record is from RNAcentral.
UCGGGGAUCGUCUAACGGUAGGACAGCGGCCUUUGAAGCCGUCAGUCUUGGUUCGAAUCCAAGUCCCCGAGCCA